CCUACGGGAGGCAGCAGUGGGGGAUAUUGGACAAUGGGGGAAACCCUGAUCCAGCGACGCCGCGUGAGUGAAGAAGUAUUUCGGUAUGUAAAGCUCUGUCAGCAGGGAAGAAAGAAAUGACGGUACCUGACCAAGAAGCCUCGGCUAACUACGUGCCAGCAGCCGCGGUAAUACGGCGGGGGCAAGCGUUAUCCGGAAUUACUGGGUGUAAAGGGAGCGUAGACGGUGAUGAAAGUCUGGGGUGAAAGGCGGGGGCGCAACCCCCGAACUGCUCUGGAAACUGUGUAACUUGAGUGCAGGAGAGGUAGGCGGAAUGCCUAGUGUAGCGGUGAAAUGCGUAGAUAUUAGGAGGAACACCAGUUGCGAAGGCAGCUUACUAGACUGUAACUGACGUUGAGGCUCGAAAGCGUGGGGAGCAAACAGGAUUAGAUACCCCUGUAGUC
This 443-nucleotide ribosomal RNA is filed under the name uncultured bacterium. Its description in RNAcentral is "partial 16S ribosomal RNA". It matches the Rfam family "Bacterial small subunit ribosomal RNA", at positions 338 to 795 of the family's 1533-position model. The record is from RNAcentral.